ACGAACGCUGGCGGCGUGCCUAAUACAUGCAAGUCGAACGCAUUUUCUUUCACCGUAGCUUGCUACACCGAAAGAAAAUGAGUGGCGAACGGGUGAGUAACACGUGGGUAACCUGCCCAUCAGCGGGGGAUAACACUUGGAAACAGGUGCUAAUACCGCAUAAUUCCAUUUACCGCAUGGUAGAUGGGUGAAAGGCGCUUUUGCGUCACUGAUGGAUGGACCCGCGGUGCAUUAGCUAGUUGGUGGGGUAACGGCCUACCAAGGCUGCGAUGCAUAGCCGACCUGAGAGGGUGAUCGGCCACACUGGGACUGAGACACGGCCCAGACUCCUACGGGAGGCAGCAGUAGGGAAUCUUCGGCAAUGGACGCAAGUCUGACCGAGCAACGCCGCGUGAGUGAAGAAGGUUUUCGGAUCGUAAAACUCUGUUGUUAGAGAAGAACAAGGAUGAGAGUGGAAAGUUCAUCCCUUGACGGUAUCUAACCAGAAAGCCACGGCUAACUACGUG
RNAcentral lists this ribosomal RNA (506 nucleotides) under uncultured bacterium. RNAcentral's name for it is "partial 16S ribosomal RNA". It matches the Rfam family "Bacterial small subunit ribosomal RNA", at positions 29 to 507 of the family's 1533-position model. The record is from RNAcentral.